CCAGCAGCCGCGGUAACUCCAGCUCCAAUAGCGUAUAUUAAAGUUGCUGCAGUUAAAAAGCUCGUAGUUGGAUCUCGGUAUUAUUGUUGCCUGCUGGCUUUAGAGGCACUAGCUGGCCUAGCGGUGCAUGGGUGAGCCUGUGCAGCGUGGGGUCGGCGGCCUUGGGUCGGCGUGGCGGCGGUGAUACCUUUCAGCCAUGUCUGUGGUGCAAUAUCCACAGGUGUAGGCGAGUGCCAGGCGGUGCCCUGCAACUGUGGGGUUCGUCGGCUUGUCUGCAUGCCUACGGAUGCCCAUUAAAAGGUGUCUGUGGGCGGACGGCACGUUUACUUUGAACAAAUUUGAGUGCUCAAACCAGGCCGAUGCUGCCUGAAAAGUUUUGCAUGGAAUAAUGGAAUAGGACUUCGGUUCUAUUUCGUUGGUUUUCGGAUCCGAAGUAAUGAUCAAAAGAGACAGGCGGGG
Molecule: ribosomal RNA, 459 nt
Filed under: Schyzocotyle acheilognathi
Lineage: Eukaryota; Metazoa; Platyhelminthes; Cestoda; Bothriocephalidea; Bothriocephalidae
Description: SSU rRNA
Rfam family: Eukaryotic small subunit ribosomal RNA
Source: RNAcentral